This 484-nucleotide ribosomal RNA is filed under the name uncultured bacterium. RNAcentral describes it as "partial 16S ribosomal RNA". It matches the Rfam family "Bacterial small subunit ribosomal RNA", at positions 30 to 507 of the family's 1533-position model. The record is from RNAcentral.
AUUGAACGCUGGCGGCAGGCCUAACACAUGCAAGUCGAGCGGCUGAAGGGAGCUUGCUCCUGGAUUCAGCGGCGGACGGGUGAGUAAUGCCUAGGAAUCUGCCUGGUAGUGGGGGAUAACGUCCGGAAACGGGCGCUAAUACCGCAUACGUCCUGAGUGAGAAAGUGGGGGUUCUUCGGACCUCACGCUAUCAGAUGAGCCUAGGUCGGAUUAUCUAGUUGGUGGGGUAAAGGCCUACCAAGGCGACGAUCCGUAACUGGUCUGAGAGGAUGAUCAGUCACACUGGAACUGAGACACGGUCCAGACUCCUACGGGAGGCAGCAGUGGGGAAUAUUGGACAAUGGGCGAAAGCCUGAUCCAGCCAUGCCGCGUGUGUGAAGAAGGUCUUCGGAUUGUAAAGCACUUUAAGUUGGGAGGAAGGGCAGUAAGUUAAUACCUUGCUGUUUUGACGUUACCAACAGAAUAAGCACAGGCUAACUUAGUG